GGACUACCCGGGUUUCUAAUCCUGUUUGCUCCCCACGCUUUCGCGUCUCAGCGUCAGUUGCGAUCCAGAUGGCCGCCUUCGCCACCGGUGUUCCUCCCAGUAUCUACGAAUUUCACCUCUACUCUGGGAAUUCCGCCAUCCUCUCUCGCACUCGAGCGAAGCAGUUUCCGAUGCACUUCCCCAGUUAAGCCGAGGGAUUUCACGUCGGACAUACUCCGCCGCCUACACGCCCUUUACGCCCAGUGAUUCCGAACAACGCUAGCACCCUCUGUCUUACCGCGGCUGCUGGCAC
This 292-nucleotide ribosomal RNA is filed under the name uncultured bacterium. RNAcentral describes it as "partial 16S ribosomal RNA". The record is from RNAcentral.